UACGUAGGGUGCAAGCGUUGUCCGGAAUUAUUGGGCGUAAAGAGCUCGUAGGCGGCUUGUCGCGUCGACCGUGAAAACUUGGGGCUCAACCCCAAGCCUGCGGUCGAUACGGGCAGGCUCGAGUUCGGUAGGGGAGACUGGAAUUCCUGGUGUAGCGGUGAAAUGCGCAGAUAUCAGGAGGAACACCGGUGGCGAAGGCGGGUCUCUGGGCCGAUACUGACGCUGAGGAGCGAAAGCGUGGGGAGCGAACAGG
Molecule: ribosomal RNA, 253 nt
Filed under: uncultured bacterium
Lineage: Bacteria
Description: partial 16S ribosomal RNA
Rfam family: Bacterial small subunit ribosomal RNA
Source: RNAcentral